UGGACCAAGUGCCGCCUGUACUUUCAACGCUGUAGUCUCCCGGCAGCCCUGGGAAGGACAGUCUUACCCGGACGUCACAGCGGAGCUGCCCUUCCCUCCCUGCUGCCCCCAGGGAAUACUGCUGGUGUCCUCAGAUGCUGGCAGGAGGAACCCGCCAGCGCCUGAGAGCCUGGCCCGAACAAGGGCUGGAGGUGCUGGCGCAGACACAGAGGAUGUGGCCUCCAACCCUGGUAACAGACGGUUACCAGGGCGGCUUUGGGUGAGGAAAUUGAAAAAGGUCAGACUCCCUAGGAGCAGCGCCCUGGACUCCAGUCUGAUCACAAACCAGUGGUUCCCAAUUGAAGUCAGUUUUGCUCCUCAGGGAAUACUUAACAACAUCUGGAGACAUUUUUAAUUGUCCUGACCAAGAGGAGAAUGCUACUGGCAUCUAGUGGGCAGAGGCCAGGGAUACUGCUGAACAUCCCGCAGUGCACAGGACGCCCGCAACACAGAUUAUCCAGCCCCAAACGUCAAUAGUGCCAGGGUUAUGGAACCCUAAUGAAGACAGUUCUUGAAGGCAUAGACUGAAUCUUAUUUAUCUUUAUUUCCCUCAUGUCUCACAAGCAGAGUAUGAGUUCAGCAAAUAGGAAUUGAACAGAAAUCAGGAGGAGGUGCUGAUUGACAGGAAAAAAGAAAGAUUUAGUUUAGAGCUGAGAAUUCAGCUGGACAGCCAUAGGGGCUCUGGCAUGGAGACUGGAAGUCAGAAGACAAUUUGCAGCAAGACAUUUAGAGCGAUUUAUCCAGCCAUCAUAAUUUUAUUGAUUAACUAUUUUGUGUGAGGCACUGUACUGGAUGCUUUGGCAACAGAGAUAAGCAAGGCAACCCCUAUGA
Molecule: long non-coding RNA, 870 nt
Filed under: Pongo abelii (Sumatran orangutan)
Lineage: Eukaryota; Metazoa; Chordata; Mammalia; Primates; Hominidae
Description: lincRNA
Source: RNAcentral